This 432-nucleotide ribosomal RNA is filed under the name uncultured bacterium. Its description in RNAcentral is "partial 16S ribosomal RNA". It matches the Rfam family "Bacterial small subunit ribosomal RNA", at positions 29 to 506 of the family's 1533-position model. The record is from RNAcentral.
AACGAACGCUGGCGGCAUGCCUAACACAUGCAAGUCGAACGAGACCUUCGGGUCUAGUGGCGCAGGGGUGCGUAACGCCGGGGAACCUGCCCUUAGGUACGGAAUAACUCCCCGAAAGGGGUGCUAAUACCGGUUAAUCUCAUAGGACCAAGGAUUUAUCGCUUUUGGAUGGGCCCGCGUUGGAUUAGCUAGUUGGUAGGGUAAAAGCCUACUAAGGCGACGAUCCAUAGCUGGUCGGAGAGGAUGAUCAGCCACACGGGGACUGAGACACGGCCCAUACUCCUACGGGCGGCAGCAGUGAGGAAUAUAGGACAGUGGGCGAAAGCCUGAACCGGCGAGGCCGCGUGAGUGAUGAAGGCCUUGGGGUUGGAAAGCUCUUUUGCCCGGGAUGAUAAGGACAGUACCGGGAGAAUAAGCUCCGGCUAACUCCGG